Molecule: long non-coding RNA, 1943 nt
Organism: Acipenser ruthenus (sterlet)
Lineage: Eukaryota; Metazoa; Chordata; Actinopteri; Acipenseriformes; Acipenseridae
Exons: 2
Source: RefSeq, a predicted model, not a curated record
CAUUUGUUUUAAGUAUAAAAUGACAAAAAAACAUACACGAUAAAAAAAAAGCUGUUUUCUCUCUCAUUUUCAAAAUAUAUGACGUAUCUGAAUCUACAAUUACAUUGAUAAUAACUCCGUACAAGACAAACUUCCACAGUGGGAGCGGCCGUUUUGGUUUUGCUGCAGUUCACCGACUCUCAACCCCGCUGAAUUUAACAAUUUCGUUGAGCAACCCCUGGUGAAUUUAACAACGGUUUGGUGAAUCUGGUACACCGGUGCAUGCAGCGGUGAACUUAACAACGCACCCUUUCAUAACAUGAAACUUUGAAAAUAUUUACUAACGCUACCGGCGUAGUGUCUUCUGGGAAUAGUCGUUUAUCUGGUACACGCGGAAAGGUGUUUCCAAUCAGCAGGAAUGCAGAGGAAAACUACAACUCCCGUCAUACACGCAUGUCAACAACAUGCUGGCUUCGUAUUUAACUUCCUGUCAAGUUUUAACAUUUUUCUUGCUGUUAUGAUGAAUUUUUUUUCUGGUCACUUUCUAAAAUCUCCUUCAGAAAACUGAAUGCGAAAACAGAAUAAUGCAAUUUCCAUUAUUCAACACCACUCAUCAUCAUACUAAAUUGAGGUUUUUCAUGUGACGUUAUCACAGCACGGUGCGGCCACUGGAGGUCAAAAAUGCAUUGGCGGGCAGACAACUUAUAACUAAGAGCGGUCGUUACACUUUUGAUUUUACAAUGCCAGAUGUGUGUUGUGCUGUUGGGUGCACCAACAGAAGAGGAAAACAAUUCAGAGUAUCCUUCUACAGGAUUCCUGCUGAGCCAGACAGGAGGGAAAAGUGGAUUUCAGCCAUUAACAGAGUAGCAAAAACUGAUUCACGGAACCCAAAGUCGAAAACCGACUGGACCAACUCAGUACACACGUUUGUGUAGUGAGCACUUUAUAAAAGGGAAGAAGUCUGAUAACCCCCUGUCCCCUGAUUAUGUGCCGUCUAUCUUCAACCAUACACCUUCUACUAGGAAGAAUAAGAGGGCCAGAGACAUGGAGAGGUUUGAGGGUAGGGAAAUGAAGAGGAGGAGGAAGAGGCGAGAGGAGGAGAGUGAAGCAGUGGCAGGGCUCCUGGAUCUAUCAGCCAGACAGCAGGAGUUACAAGACCCUGUACCUCCUAUGCAAGAAGUAAAGGCGAGGGAGUGUGAAAGUGAACACUGUAGAGACUGUAUUCGAUCUUUAGAAAGCGAGCGUCAGGCCUUGAGAGGAGAAAAUGAUCGUUUAGAAAGCACAAUCAAGUCAUUUUCAUUUGAUGAAACAUCUUUUAAAGAUAAUGAUUUGAAGGUGAGGAAAAUGGCUGGACUACCUUCAUUUGAAUAAUGAAAUGCUGUCUUUCAUUUUAUUUGUUAUUUAAAAGAGCAAUCAUCGAAAACUGCUACAAUCGAAAGACACUUUGAAAUUUUGAGGCGGCACUUUCUCCCUUGCCUUCUCUAAGGAGCUUCCACUGAUCUGAUGGUGCCCGCCUUUUUGUAGUGAAUGCCAUUCACAUUGUGUUUCUUAUUGCCUUCAAUUACUUGAGCUUUUCUACUUAAAUACACAUAAUUAUUUGAUGUAUAGUACUGCUACUGGCUAAUUAAACACCCAACUCUCAAAUAAAUCAUUUUCAGAGAAUACAAUGUUUUUACCCAUUACUCCAAAAUAAAAAUGAGAAAAAUAUAUAAUUAUAAAUGUAUUAUUUGCAUCACAAUGCAAGAUGAUUAUUUUAAUUCCUUAAAGAGUAAGUAGCGGUUUUCUGAAAAAAUAUAUCAUUAUACGCAGCUACAACUGUUUAAAUAAUGGACCUGUAAUAUCCUAGUAACUUUUUACACUUAUAACUAAAGUCUGUUUCAAGGCUCUUUUCAAAUGGCCUCUCUACUGCACUGGGGUUAGAGAUCUGUCCUCUAAAUCACUGCAGGAAGAACGAAUAAAUUUUU